UACAGAGGUCUCAAGCGUUGUUCGGAUUCAUUGGGCAUAAAGGGUGCGUAGGCGGCGCGGUAAGUCGGGUGUGAAAUCUUGGAGCUUAACUCCGAAACUGCAUUCGAUACUGCCGUGCUUGAGGACUGGAGAGGAGACUGGAAUUUACGGUGUAGCGGUGAAAUGCGUAGAUAUCGUAAGGAAGACCAGUGGCGAAGGCGGGUCUCUGGACAGUUCCUGACGCUGAGGCACGAAGGUCAGGGGAGCAAACGGG
This 253-nucleotide ribosomal RNA is filed under the name uncultured bacterium. RNAcentral's name for it is "partial 16S ribosomal RNA". It matches the Rfam family "Bacterial small subunit ribosomal RNA", at positions 524 to 776 of the family's 1533-position model. The record is from RNAcentral.